GUGAGGAAUAUUGUGCAAUGGAGGCAACUCUGACGCAGCCAUGCCGCGUGCAGGAAGAAGGCGCUACGCGUUGUAAACUGCUUUUAACCGGGAAGAAACCCCAGGACGUGUCCUGGGUUGACGGUACCGGAGGAAUAAGCACCGGCUAACUUCGUGCCAGCAGCCGCGGUAAUACGAAGGGUGCAAGCGUUAUCCGGAUUCAUUGGGUUUAAAGGGUGCGUAGGCGGAGCGUUAAGUCAGUGGUGAAAUCCUGCAGCUUAACUGUAGACUUGCCAUUGAUACUGGCGCUCUUGAGUGCGCUUGAAGUGGGCGGAAUGUGCCGUGUAGCGGUGAAAUGCUUAGAUAUGGCACAGAACACCAAUUGCGAAGGCAGCUCACUAAGGCGAUACUGACGCUGAGGCACGAAAGCGUGGGGAUCGAACAGGAUUAGAUACCCGGGUAGUCC
Molecule: ribosomal RNA, 445 nt
Filed under: uncultured bacterium
Lineage: Bacteria
Description: partial 16S ribosomal RNA
Rfam family: Bacterial small subunit ribosomal RNA
Source: RNAcentral